CGUAGGUAACCUGCCUCUUAGCGGGGGAUAACUAUUGGAAACGAUAGCUAAUACCGCAUAAAAGUCGACAUUGCAUGAUGUUGGCUUGAAAGGUGCAACUGCAUCACUAAGAGAUGGACCUGCGUUGUAUUAGCUAGUUGGUGAGGUAACGGCUCACCAAGGCGACGAUACAUAGCCGACCUGAGAGGGUGAUCGGCCACACUGGGACUGAGACACGGCCCGG
This 223-nucleotide ribosomal RNA is filed under the name uncultured bacterium. Its description in RNAcentral is "partial 16S ribosomal RNA". It matches the Rfam family "Bacterial small subunit ribosomal RNA", at positions 116 to 334 of the family's 1533-position model. The record is from RNAcentral.